This 461-nucleotide long non-coding RNA is filed under the name Rhagoletis pomonella (apple maggot). RNAcentral's name for it is "uncharacterized LOC118752872". Lineage: Eukaryota; Metazoa; Arthropoda; Insecta; Diptera; Tephritidae. The record is from RNAcentral.
ACGUACUCGAUAAACCAACAACGUAUAAUAGCAAGCCUGCCAGCGAGACAGCCGAUCAACUAAGCGAUCACUCAGCCAACUACUACAUACAUACAGUACGAUCCAUUCAAGUGGCAGGUGAUGUGUAGGGGGAAGCGCACCUUAUAAAUACCGGCACUGUUGUUCUGUGCGCUCAGUUUAUAUUGAACGGUGCUAUAGAGAACAACUCAUAUAAAACUAACGAAAAAGCUGAUAAAGCGACGAAACACUAAACAUAGAUUUCAAAACAUUCGAGAAACAACAUACAUACAUAUUGCAGAAAGAAAAGAAAAUACAUACAAAUUUUAUAGAGACUUUGAUUUUGGUGUAACAUUUCACUUUUGGGUGGAAACUACAAAGCAAAAAAUGUUGCGAGGUAGCGUUUUAUUGCUAACACUACUAGCCAUAUUCGGCUAUCUACAGGCGUUGCCAUACUAUGGAGA